GUCCAGGGAUGGGAAACGAACCCACAACGUUCCGCUUACCGGGCAGAUACCAUGUCCACUAGGCUACCCUGGA
Molecule: transfer RNA, 73 nt
Filed under: Cordylochernes scorpioides
Lineage: Eukaryota; Metazoa; Arthropoda; Arachnida; Pseudoscorpiones; Chernetidae
Description: tRNA-Thr
Source: RNAcentral